Molecule: ribosomal RNA, 237 nt
Filed under: uncultured bacterium
Lineage: Bacteria
Description: partial 16S ribosomal RNA
Rfam family: Bacterial small subunit ribosomal RNA
Source: RNAcentral
GUUGUCCGGAAUUACUGGGCGUAAAGAGCUCGUAGGUGGUUUGUCGCGUUGUUCGUGAAAACUCACAGCUCAACUUUGGGCGUGCGGGCGAUACGGGCAGACUGGAGUACUGCAGGGGAGACUGGAAUUCCUGGUGUAGCGGUGGAAUGCGCAGAUAUCAGGAGGAACACCGGUGGCGAAGGCGGGUCUCUGGGCAGUAACUGACGCUGAGGAGCGAAAGCGUGGGGAGCGAACAGG